This 485-nucleotide long non-coding RNA is filed under the name Eucalyptus grandis. Its description in RNAcentral is "long non-coding RNA (EGRA_LNC004325)". Lineage: Eukaryota; Viridiplantae; Streptophyta; Magnoliopsida; Myrtales; Myrtaceae. The record is from RNAcentral.
AGUUGUAAACCUUCGUAAGGUAUCAAAACUGGAGAAACAUGUAAAGGCUAACUCACAAACUACGAAAGGUGUUCGAUAAGCGAAAAUCACGUGAGUACCUAAGGGACAGCAGAAUGUCUCUUUUUUCAACAAUAAAUGCCUGCAUAUCGAGUAAAACAACCUACACAGAGAAAAUGAUAUACAAGUAUCUUGAGAAGCACCAGGAGGCAGAACUCUGGGAUUGCUCAAGAAGGUUUUUUGUGCCCACCCACUCUUUCCUGGAUGAGUUUCAUGCAGAAGAUACGCCGUAAAUCUGCUUGUCCAGUUGCCAAUCUUUCAUAUACAUUUUUCGCCUUUGUUUCUGUCGUCGCAGUCAUCAGACAUCUAAGGUUGCAUCAAGGGAGAUCCACCAUCAAGAUGUUGACAUUUUCACUGAGCGACACCUGGAAACAUACAGGAUACAAUGUCUGAGUGAAACUGCCAGGAGAAAAUGCAUUUCGGCUUUC